UACGUAGGGGGCUAGCGUUAUCCGGAUUUACUGAGCGUAAAGGGCGCGUAGGCGGUUCCGUGUGCCGCGUGUGAAAUACCAGGGCUCAACCCUGGAAGUGCGCGCGAAACUGCGGGUCUAGAGCAGAGGAGGGGAGAGCGGAAUUCAUGGUGUAGCGGUGAAAUGCGUUGAUAUCAUGAGGAACACCGGUGGCGAAGGCGGCUCUCUGGAAUCUUGCUGACGCUGAGGCGCGAAAGUUGGGGGAGCAAACAGGAUUAGAUA
This 261-nucleotide ribosomal RNA is filed under the name uncultured prokaryote. RNAcentral describes it as "partial 16S ribosomal RNA". It matches the Rfam family "Bacterial small subunit ribosomal RNA", at positions 524 to 784 of the family's 1533-position model. The record is from RNAcentral.